RNAcentral lists this long non-coding RNA (1193 nucleotides) under Monodelphis domestica (gray short-tailed opossum). RNAcentral's name for it is "lncRNA (ENSMODG00000038955.1)". The record is from RNAcentral. Lineage: Eukaryota; Metazoa; Chordata; Mammalia; Didelphimorphia; Didelphidae.
AUGAAAACUGAAGCAUUAGAGAGCAAACCAGCUCAUAUAUUCCCUCUAAGGGAGGUACCUAUAAUGUCCUCAGAGCAUGGUAUAGUGAAUCUCAUGUUCCACAAAAAGUUUACACAGGCUGAUAUAGACAGUUUUAAGAAAAAUACUCCAUCAUAUGAAGAAGAACCCAUGGCAGUUUUAAAGCAGUUUAAGCAUUUAAUUAAGCUUUACAAUCCUUCUUAUUUGGGCUUUGAUAUCCUUAUGGAUGAAUUGUUAACAAAAAGGGAGAAACAGAAGAUUAUACAGAGACUUAACUACAGCCAGGAAGCAAUAAUUGAAACUAUGAGGCAAAAUUCCAGAUGCCCAGGAAUCUGGUCUAAAUUUGAACACCUAAAGCAGGAAGUAGGGAUUGGGUUGGAUACUUUAACAGAUGAAAAUGUAAAUCAUAUUUGCAGACAAUUUGUAAAAAAUGCAUGUCCUUUGGUCUGAAAUUAUUUUUGGAUUAACUGUCCAAAUUGGAUUGACAUGGGUGUUGAUGAAAUUAGGAGAAUUGCUAACUAUGUUUUCCACGAUGAGAAAUAUAGGCAAUCAGAAGAGAAAAAAAUGAUAUAAUUGAUAACUUAACCAUAGAAAUCAGAGAGCUUGAACAAAAACUGAAAUUCAAUGAAGUGCAAGAAAAAACAGUAGUUGCACUAAGAACUUAUAGACAAUCAGGAAAUAAUUACAACCCCAGACAAUACAGACAAACCCCAAGAUGUUUUCUUUGUAACAGAGCUGGUCAUCUCAUGAGAGAGUGCAGAUUUAGGGGAUAAUUCUUUGGACAAAGCUUCAGGGGAAACCAAGACAAUAGAUUUAAUUGCUUUAAUGGAUUCAGGCAAAAAGGAUAUAGAAAUUAUGGGUUUAAUAAUGGAUUUAAUAAUGCAUUCCAGUAUGGGAGACCAAACUACCCAAAUUAUUUUGAUACUGGAUGCUACCAUAAUUCACAACAAGUUACAGACCUGAAUACCAUGCAAGAAUAUAUCAAAGCAGGUGCUUGUACAAAAUAUUCCCAAAUAGCUGGUGGGAAUCCCCAAAAAGUUGAUAUACAAAAAGAUCCAACUUCAUUAUGAAAGUGUGCCAAGGCCUGUGCAGCGAAAAAUCUAGUAUAUGGAAAAAAUGGACUAGGAAAUAUGGGCAAUGGAAUAAAAACUAAUGAAAAUUAAAAAGAGAUUUCA